GUCUACAGCCAUGCCACCCUGAACACACCCAAUCCCGUCUGAUCUUGGAAGCCAAGCUGGGUCAGGCCUGGUUAGUACUUGGAUGGGAGACUACCUAAAAAAGACGGGAUGUUGUAGGUG
This 120-nucleotide ribosomal RNA is filed under the name Pteropus vampyrus (large flying fox). Lineage: Eukaryota; Metazoa; Chordata; Mammalia; Chiroptera; Pteropodidae. The record is from RNAcentral.